UAAUCAUAUACAUGCUCUUAAAACACUUAGGAGAAAGAAAUAAUUCCACAUUUAGGAUAUGAGGAUAAGCUUAUCCUAAAACAAAAACCAUCAUAAGAAAAGCAGACUACAAACAAAUAUGUCUCAUGAAUGUAAAUGAAAAAAAUCAUUAACACGUUAGUAAACUGAACUAAAAAUAAAUACAGAGAAUAACACAUCAUGACUGAGGAUUAACCCAGGAAUUUCAAGUGGUUUAACAUCUGAAAAUCAAUCAAUGUAACUUAUCAUAUUAAUAAAGGAAAAAAUUCAUAUGAUCUUUUCAACAAUUGCUGAGAAAGAAUUCAGAAAAAUGCAACACUCAUUUAUUGAUAAAAAUAUUAAAGAAAGUAGGAAGAGCAGGGACCUUCCUUAACAUUAUAAAGGGCAUCUACAAAAAAUCUGCAGUUAACAUCAUACUUAAUGGUGAAAGACAAUACUUUUCACCCUAGGUCAGGAAUUGGGCAAGGAUUUGCAUGCUCACCACUUAUGGUCUCCAUUAUUCUGGAGGUCUUCUCCAGCACAAUCAUACAAAAAAACAAUCAAAGACAUACAAGGGAUGGAAGAAGUCAAACUGUCUUUAUUUAGAGAUGUCAUGAUUGUAUAUAUAGAAAAUCCCAAGGAAUCUACAAAAAAGCUAUUAGAAAGAUCUCAGGAUAAUAAUGUACAAAAAAAUCGUAAUACAUUGUGGUAGUUUUCAAAUUUCCACAAAUUCUUUGGCACCCUUCUCUUUAAAAGGUGGAUUCUAAUCGCCUUUCCUUGAAUGUGGGCUGGUCAUAACACCUUGCUUCUAAUUAAUAGAACCUGGUGGAAGUGAGCGUGUGUGACGUCUGAGGUGAGGUCACAAUAGGCAUUACUAUUUCUGCCUUGUUCUUUUGGAUGGCUUCGUCUGGAGCCAGGGGUCUUGCCAUGAAGGACAUUCAAGCAGUUCUGAGGAGAGGCCCAAGUGAAGAGGAACCAGUUGCCAGCACCACCCUGUCAGCUAUGUUAGGCCCCUGCCUAUAUAAACAAUUUGAUUAAAAACAUAUAUUUAAAAAUUCAUCAGUACAUGUGAGAUAUGAUGAUUUAUCAUUGAAGAUUUAGGAUGAUGGGCAGAGAAAGGCAAUCUGUUUUGUCUAUUGUCCAAUCAGUGCACGUGAAGAUUUGUUACAGUAUCCAGUUAACACUGAAUCACUAAGGUUUUAUCCAGGAAUAGUACUCAAAGUGCUCAGAUGUUCCUUUAAAUUCAUUUACCUGGGUAACUGCU
RNAcentral lists this long non-coding RNA (1261 nucleotides) under Homo sapiens (human). RNAcentral describes it as "HSALNT0366878". The record is from RNAcentral. Lineage: Eukaryota; Metazoa; Chordata; Mammalia; Primates; Hominidae.